UGUAGAGCCACCAUCACGCAACACAAGCCUGGGAGAGAGACAGGCACCCAACCCCAACCACUGAGAGCUGCUUUGUGGGGCACGCCCAGCAAAGCCAUGAAGAAUGGGGCUGCCUGGGUCUUUGGCCCACCCUUGCUGCACGGUGUCCAAAAGGCAGGACGUAGAGUCAAAGAAGAUCAUUCUCAAGCCUCGAGAUUUAAUGCUGAAAAGACAGAUCACACAUUUAAAAAUGAAAGGUUCACUUGCAGGAGCUCUAGCCCCUGCAGCAGCCCAAUCGGUUGAAUGGUCCACGAAGACAUCGCCUAGCAUCAGCAUCCAGCCAGCAUCACCAUGAUCAGGAUGAUUCUCAGCAACGUCUUCCUCUCCGGCUGCCCUGGGAGUGGCUAAAGUUGAAGCAGCAGGAAACAGAGGAAUCUUGAAGAACGUCAUCUCUGUGGUCCUGUUAAAUGUGUCGCUGACACACGACUGUUUUUGUGAUGCUUCCUUUUCAAAGAAUUUACUCCGAACAACAUGCAGGUUCACUGUAUCUGCAUUUACAGAGACACUGACAGACUUAGACAAUUCAACAAACUGACAGGAUCAACCCUCCAUUAAAAGUAAAGCAUUUCUUCCAUUUUUCCAGUGAGAAGACAUCCUCUCCUCAAAAAAAAAGUUUUCGGGCAACUUUAAUAAAUACAAUUUUAAGUGUACAGAUGAUUGAAUUAGGCAAAAGUCCACUUAUGGUAUCUAAUAUACAAUUUAAUUACACAUACAUUUUAAAAUCACGUUUCAUAAAAUAUUAAUUGAAAAAUAGAGAGUGGUUCAGGGCACAGAUUCUGGAUCCAGACGGCCUGAAUUCAAAUCUCAGCUCCUCCAUUUACUGUAACUCACUUUUGAGAGAGUUGACAUUCUGGGCCUCAGUUUCCUCCUCUUUAAAAUAAGGGUGAUAAUAACAUCCAGCUCACAGUGUUGUUGAAGUAUUAAACGAUGUAAAAACAUGUAAAGCCCUUAGAACACUGUCCAGGAAGUGGUAUACACAUGUUAGGUUAAAAGACAUAGUGGUUUAUUAUCCAUUCACAUAGACUUUAGAACCUCUUUAUUCUUUCUUUCUUUCUUCCUUUCUUUUUUGAGAUGAAGUUUUGCUUUCGUUGCUCAGGCUGGAGGGCAAUGGCGCAGUCUCAGCUCACUGCAACCUCUGCCUCCCAGACAACCCCUUUAUUCUAACUCGUCAAAUGCAGCAGUGUUUGUCAUCAGAAGAAGCACUUUUUUAGUUGAACGAUGCCAGUCUCCAUCACUUUCACUUCCCAUUACACCAUUUGGAAUAUAAUACUUUUUGAAUCUAGGUAUGAUGUCACAGAAAACUGAGUGUCAAGGCAAGCAUCUAUGUGGAUAUUAGCACAGACAGGUUUUCCCAUUUAUCUGGCAGCUGUAUAUUCUGAUCACCAAAAGGACAUCAUGUUGCUUUUCAAAGCCAUUGUUAGGACAUUGUUAGGAAACUUGUUCAUAACCAUCACCAACACUCGUCAUUACUUGCUCAUAUCCUCCGGAAUAAUUACUAAACCUGCGUUCAAUUUCCUUGCCUUUUCUAUCAAUUCUGUGAUCCCUGUAAACAUCCCAAACUAGCACUGAUUGGGGUCACUGCAGGCUAAUGUAGUUUCUACAAUUAAUUUU
RNAcentral lists this long non-coding RNA (1650 nucleotides) under Homo sapiens (human). RNAcentral's name for it is "HSALNT0401127". The record is from RNAcentral. Lineage: Eukaryota; Metazoa; Chordata; Mammalia; Primates; Hominidae.